UAUUUAUUAUUAUAUUAGCAGCUGAGAAGAAGAAGAAGAAGAACCCAAAAAAACUAUAACAGGGACGACACAAAGAGCCAUCUUUAAGAUUUGAGCCUGGGUAUUUUGUGUCCAUAGCAGCAUCAUGAUGUCUUCUGUGCAUGAUCUUUCUGGUAUUUUUCUUAAGAUAUUUUUUGUCUGGUAUUUUUCUUCAGAUAUUUUUUGUUAAACAUAAGUUUGUACAAUAUUGUUCUAUGUAUUUUUUUUUUGGUCAUGCCAGAAACUUUAUUUUUCAUAUGGUAAGGUCUGUUAGGAAGGGUGUGGGGAUAUUAUAAUUUUUGACAAGGUCUAAUUCACAUGAGAUGUGUCUUUGUGUCGAUGUAACUGGAGCUCAUUUAUCAGGUUCAUCAGUGAAGAAUCUGAUGUGCCUAGAAAAUUAGUGCCAGCCCAAAAGUUUUAUUUGUAACAUGCUGACUGCCUUUAACUUAUGGCUGCUGCACCCUGAGAAGAAAGAAGUGCAUGUGAAAAUUGUAAUAGUUGAUAUGUAGAUCAAAAGGGUUAAAAUAGUGAUGUCAAGACGUUUUGAUACCUUUGGGAUUAAUUUUCUUUUCCUUUGUUUUGAUUAGGUUUUGUAUUCAGAGAAAGAUUUCUUGUGCUUCACUUGUUUACUCUAUUAAUGAAAAUGUUUUUAUUU
Molecule: long non-coding RNA, 673 nt
Organism: Vitis riparia (riverbank grape)
Lineage: Eukaryota; Viridiplantae; Streptophyta; Magnoliopsida; Vitales; Vitaceae
Exons: 2
Source: RefSeq, a predicted model, not a curated record